RNAcentral lists this long non-coding RNA (5299 nucleotides) under Manihot esculenta (cassava). Its description in RNAcentral is "long non-coding RNA (MESC_LNC010351)". Lineage: Eukaryota; Viridiplantae; Streptophyta; Magnoliopsida; Malpighiales; Euphorbiaceae. The record is from RNAcentral.
UGUACGAGGUAUAUAAAAUAAGCUAAUGUGCCUUACCACAUUGGCCUUGGUCCUUGAUGGGGGUAACGGCUCCUUUAUUCCUCCAAUCAAUGGAGGUUGGCACUGCAGUGACAUUUUCAUACCUAAAAGAAGAUGUUGAUGAUUUAAGAAUGGCAGACCUUUUGUAUCCAUUUCUAGAAGCUCUGAACUCUUCAUUAGCUAGGUCUGCAAAUUCAUUGAUGUCUAGCUUGUAAGGCUUAUUCCCAGCAUUGUUGAAGGAUUCAAUGAAUUUCACAUUCUCCUCGAAUAUAUUAAAACGUCUUUCCUUCUCUGCGUUGUCUUUAUAAACACGUCCAUACUUAGCCAUCCACAUUUCAUGCUUCUCAGUCAUGGACGCAUCCUUGAGCGAGCGUGACGAGGUUUGAGAUGUCCAGAUUCCCACUAACAAAAUUGCCACAAAAAUUGGUUUGUUUUCGAGAAUUGCAGGCAUUCUGCCAAGUGAAUAUGAUGUUGCUGUUCAGGAUAGUGAGCAAUGUGUUUGGCACACCAGUCCUUUGAGAACUAAAGGUAUUUAUACUAGUGCAGCGAUAUUUCUACAGGAUCUCUUCCAAAUAAAAUUCCCAUAUUACCUGGUGAAUCCGGCAAGUUGUGUAUGAUAUGGACAACGCAAGUUCCAUUUCUUGACGUUGCUUCUGCCUAUGAGCUCCACCUUCACCUUCUAGGUUAACUAGUUUUCAUAUUGUUGUGAGAAAUUGUAUUUGCUGUAUAUGGUGAGUUGAUUAGUCCAAUUAUUAAGCUGAAUCCUUAUUUGGUCUGUUAGGCGUUAGUGCAAGUGCUUGCAAUUUUCCUUUGUACUGUAUUAGUAAUUUGGUCGACAAACUGAGUAUAUCUCAGAAAAAGUUAUUUGCAGGGAAUCAGGAGUUCAUCAUCAAUUUACUAAUCCGUCUCAAGUGAGUGAAAGGAAGAACAGAAUCAUAAUGGAAAUGAGCAGAUGUUUGUUAAUUGAAAAUAAGUUCCCAAAAAAAUUAUAUGAUCAUCCGGCUCAAUUGGGACUUGAACUCAAAUGUUUGUUUUGGAGUUCCCUAAUUCAUUCAUGGCCAUGGCCUUUAGCAUGUCUUGGAUUGACCUCAAAUUUAACUCUAACAUUGGUGUCCUACAUUUUAUCUCUUUGACUUGUGCUGGUGCAAUUUUCUUUUAAGAAGAAUAAAUAAUUAAUUUAUUAGUUUCUAAGUGACUAAAACCAUUUUACUAUUAGAAAUGUUUUAUUCAUUCUGAAUAGACAAUUGUUCAUUCUGAGAAUUCAGUACCAAGAUUCAACAGAAAAUCCCAAACCCAUAAUGUUUUGUUAAGUCUAUAUGAGAAGCCUAAUAUGAUAUUGACAUCAUCGUUUCAUUAAGUCUUAACUCUUUAUCUUGCAUUCUUAAUUUCUUACCCUGUAAUCAACCCCAUUACUUUGGCCAACAUAUUGGUCUCAACAGUUUAUGAGUUGACCCUUCAAUCAAAAGAAAAAGCGAAAAAAUAAACAUAGGGAACCAGACACAGCAACUAUCAGUAAUUUGUAGUUUAAAUUUUUAUGAUUGGCAUGCAACUUUGAUCCUUGGCCUUGGAGUAUAUGAAUAGAAGUAAGAGUGAAAGAAGGUGUCGUCACCCAUUUCAUUACCAAAAUAAACCUUUACAUACAUACACACUGCAAGCAAGUGGAAUACAUGAGCUUACAGAACAAAAUAGUAAAAACCCCAAUAGCCUAUAUUUUUGGAGAAUUAGAUUUUUAAGAUCCAGCUAUUUAUGGUUUGUUGCCAUUUAUGCAGUUGGAUAUGAAGGCUCCAUGGCUAUUCCACAAAGGCCUUCCUUAGCAUCAAUGUCUCUUUCCAUUCUUAUGUAUCCAUCCUCACCCCAAGAACUUCCCCAUGAGUUCUUCACUAACCAAUACUUUUUACCAUCAUCACUUGUCCCAUACCCCACUGCAGUAACACCAUGGUCUAGUUCAGUUCCACAGUCUCCUGUAAACACCCCAUUUGAGUAGAAUUGGAAGGCAGAUCCACUGGCAUCAAUGGCAACAGAAACUGGAUGGUUGGCUACUGCCUUCUUUAGUGCCUCUUCGCUAUUGGCAGGCACAUCUUCAUAACCAGCAAUUUUAGCUGCAUGAUUAGAUGCCUUUCCUGUGUUGCAAGUGCCAUCCUCUCCUUUGUAAGGGUAAUUGGCUUCAGUAGUUAGGCCUCCAUUUUGUAUUAUGAAUUCAAAUGCAUCAUCCAUAAGGCCACCUUCGCACCCUUGAUCUUCACCAUUUGUAUCACAAUCAACUAAUUCUUGCUCUGAAAGAGAGAUCAACUUCCCUGUUGAAAGCUUUGUAAUCCCUUCCAUGGCUGCCACAGCAGAAAAUGCCCAGCAACAUCCUACAACAUAUUUUAGACAAGUUAGUUUAAAAUAAUAUAUUAAAGAUGUAAGAGGUAAUAAAAAAUGAGCUAGUGUGUCUUACCACAUUGGCCUUGGUCCUUGAUGGGAGUAACAGCUCCUUUAUUCCUCCAAUCAAUGGAGGUUGGCACUGCAGUGACAUUUUCAUAUCUAAAAGAAGAUGUUGUUAAUGAUUUAAGAACGGAAGACCUUUUGUAUCUAUUUCUAGAGGCUCUGAACUCUUUAUUAGUCAGGUCUGCAAAUUCAUUGAUGUCCAGCUUGUAAGGCUUAUUCGCAGCAUUGUUGAAGGACUCGAUGAACUUCACAUUCUCGCUGAAUAUAUUAAAGCGUCUCUCCAUCUCUGCGCUGUCUUUAUAAACACGUCCAUAUUUAGCCAUCCACAUUUCAUGCUUCUCAGUCAUGGUUGCAUCCUUGAGUGAGCGUGACGAGGCUUGAGAUGUCCAGAUUCCCACUAACAAAAUCGCCACAAAAAUUAGUUUGUUUUCAAGAAUUGCAGCCAUUAUCCGAUGCGAAUAUGAUAUUGCUGUUCAGGAUGGUGAUUAAUGUGUUUUGGCACACCAGUCCUCUGAGAACUAAAGGUAUUUAUACUUGUGCAGCAACCUUUCUACAGGAUUUCUUCCAAAUUGCAUUCUCAUAUUACCUGGUGAAUCCGGCAAGUUGUGUAUGAUAUGGACAACCAAAGUUCAGUUUCUUGACGUUGCUUCUUUCAUAUUAAUUACCUACUGUUUGUAUUGUUGUGAGAAAUUUUAUUUGCUGUAUACGGUGCGUUGAUUAGUCCAAUUAUCGAGCUGAAUUCUUAUUUGGUCUGUUGAGCAUUGGUGCAAGUGCUUACUUUUCUUUUUUUUUGUAUUGUAUGAUUAAUUUGGUUCAGACGGUGGAUAAGCUGCAAAUGGAACAGGGGAAGUAUGUAUAUACCUGUCAAUCAAACUCUGGCAUACUAAACAUUUUAUUAAUAAUAGACCUGCUGCAACGGAAGAUCAACAUGUUUAUGAUAUGUGUUAGCUUGAAAAGCACGAAAAAAAAAAUUUAUUCCAAUUAGCAAGGCCUGGAGGGCCAUUGAAAAGCUGCAAUUAGUUGUUUGUGGACCUAUGAGUAUUGAUGAUUAUUCAUGGUUCUCGUGGGUUCAUUUCUUAAAGCAACAAUAUGAAGUACCUGGUAUUUCUUUCAAUUUAAGUGUAUGGUUAAAAAUCAAUCCAAUUGCAGCAUUAAGACUGAGACUCAGGUCAGAUAAUGGUACUAAGUAUGUCUCAGAAAAUUUUGAAGUUAUUUGCAGGGAAUUAGGAAUUCAUUGUCAACUUACUAAUCCUUGUAUUCCUCAAUAAACUGGAGUGAGUAAGAGGAAGAACAUAAUCAUAAUGGAAAUAUGCUCCCCAUAAAAUUAUAUGUGGCGGAAUUCAUUUAACUAAUCAUUCGGCUUUAUUGGGACUUAAUAUUUUGAUGUAUCCAGCAUUUAGUCUGUUUGACUUAUGCUGGUGCAAUUCUUUUAAGACAAAUAAUUAAUUAAUUUAUUAGUUUCUAAGGGAUUGGCAGAAAUGUUUUAUUCAUUCUAAGCAUUCAGUACCAAGAUUAAUCGAAACCCACUCAGAAUUCUAUUUUAGAAAACUAAUGUGAUAUGGAAACAUCAUUGUAUUAUGUCUCAACUCUCUGACUUAGUUUACUGUGAACAGUAACCAUAAUUCCUAGGAUUUCUUACAUAGCCCUCAGCAUUUCUUACAAAGCCAAGCAUGAUCAUAAACCUAUUUGCUAUUUUUACUUAGAAGUUUAUGAUUGGCGCCUUGGAGUGUAAGUGUAGAAGUAAGAUUGAAAGAAGGAAUCACCACCAAUUUCCUUACCAAAGUAAGCCUUUAUAUACAUACAAGCUGAAAGCAAGUGCAAUACAUGAUUUUACAGAAUAAUACUCCAAAUAGCUUAUACUUAUGCAGAAUAGAAUCUUAAGGUCCAGAAAUUUAUACUUUGCUGCCAUUUUUAUGCAGUUGGAUAUGAAGGCUCCAUGGCUAUUCCACAAAGGCCUUCCUUAGCAUCAAUGUCUCUUUCCAUUCUUAUGUAUCCAUCCUCACCCCAAGAACUUCCCCAUGAGUUCUUCACUAGCCAAUAUUUUGUACCAUCAUCACUUGUCCCGUACCCCACUGCAGUAACCCCAUGGUCUAAUUCAGUUCCACAGUCUCCUGUAAACACCCCGUUUGAGUAGAAUUGGAAAGCAGAUCCACUGGCAUCAAUGGCAACAGAAACUGGAUGGUUGGCUACUGCCUUCUUCAGUGCCUCUUCGCUAUUGGCAGGCACAUCUUCAUACCCAGUAAUUUUAGCUGCAUGAUUAGAUGCCUUCCCUGUGUUGCAAGUGCCAUCCUCUCCUUUGUAAGGGUAAUUGGCUUCAGUAGUUAGGCCUCCAUUUUGUAUUAUGAAUUCAAAUGCAUCAUCCAUAAGUCCACCUUCACAACCUUGAUCUUCACCAUUUGUGUCACAAUCAACUAGUUCUUGCUCUGAAAGAGAGAUCAACUUCCCUGUUGAAAGCUUUGUUAUGCCUUCCAUGGCUGCCACAGCAGAAAAUGCCCAGCAACAUCCUACAACAUAUUUUAGACAAGUUAGUAAACAAAAUAUUAAAAAUGUACAAGGUUAUAUGAAAUAAGCUAAUGUGCUUUUACCACAUUGGCCUUGGUCCUUGAUGGGAGUAACAGCUCCUUUAUUCCUCCAAUCAAUGGAGGUUGGCACUGCAGUGACAUUUUCAUAUCUAAAAGAAGAUGUUGUUAAUGAUUUAAGAACGGAAGACCUUUUGUAUCCAUUUCUAGAGGCUCUGAACUCUUUAUUAGUUAGGUCUGCAAAUUCAUUGAUGUCCAGCUUGUAAGGCUUAUUCGCAGCAUUGUUGAAGGACUCGAUGAACUUCACAUUCUCGCUGAAUAUAUUAAAGCGUCUC